CGAAUUCGCCCUUGUUGGAAUCGCUAGUAAUCGUAGAUCAGAACGCUACGGUGAAUACGUUCCCGGGUCUUGUACACACCGCCCGUCAUACCAUGGGAGUGGGUUGCAAAAGAAGUGGGUAGCUUAUUUGGGCGCUCACCACUUUGUGAUUCAUGACUGGGGUAAAGUCGUAACAAGGUAGCCCUAGCGGAAGCUGGGGCUGGAUCACCUCCUUAAGAAAAGUAUGAGUGUCCACAACAAGUUGUUUGAUAAAAAAUAAAGAAGAAUGAAAUAAUAUCUUAUCUUUUGAUUGUAAUAGAUUUAUAUCUAAUAAAAAAGUGUACUAAGGUCAGAAAUAAAAACUGGAAUUAGUGCAUUUUUUAAAUCUACAAUAUUUAAAUAGUCUAUUGCUAACACUAAACACACCUAGUGUUUUAAUAUAUUUUAUCUCGAAAGAUAACAUCAUUCGGGUCUGUAGCUCAGUUGGUUAGAGCGCACCCCUGAUAAGGGUGAGGUCGGUGGUUCAAAUCCACCCAGACCCACCAAAUUUUCAUUUUUGACUGCGUUCUCGGCUUAGUUGUUUGUUACUAAAUUCUAUUGUCUCCGCUUUACAAAAAUAAAAAUGACAGUGUUUACGCUGUUUUCAAGGGGCCAUAGCUCAGCUGGGAGAGCGCUUGCCUUGCACGCAAGAGGUCGGGAGUUCGAUCCUCCCUGGCUCCACCACAUUGUUUUUUGCUUUUGC
RNAcentral lists this unclassified non-coding RNA (721 nucleotides) under uncultured Gammaproteobacteria bacterium. RNAcentral describes it as "partial contains 16S ribosomal RNA and 16S-23S ribosomal RNA intergenic spacer". The stretch from base 1 to 215 matches the Rfam family "Bacterial small subunit ribosomal RNA", at positions 1307 to 1533 of the family's 1533-position model. Lineage: Bacteria; Pseudomonadati; Pseudomonadota; Gammaproteobacteria. The record is from RNAcentral.